CCCCCUAAAUUUAAGCAUAUUAAUUAGGGGAGGAAAAGAAACUAACAAGGAUUUUCUAAGAAGCGGCGAGCGAAAAGAAAAUAGUUCACUAGGUCACUUUGUCUUUAUGGCAAAUGUGAGAUGCAGUGUAUGGAGCAUCAAUAUUCUAGUAUGAGAAAUUAACGAUUUAAGUUGAAAAGAACUCUGAAUAGAGAGUUAAAUAGUACGUGAAACUGCUUAGAGGUUAAGCCCGAUGAACCUGAAUAUUCAUUAUGGAAAAUUCAUUAUUAGAGUUUUAAUAUUUUAAUAAUAUUAUAAUAAUAGUGUGCAUUUUUUCCAUAUAAGGACAUUGUAGUCUAUUAACAUAAACCAAAUUUAUCAUAAAAUAUGACUUAUAGUUUAUUUAAAUUAUUUUGCUUGCAUUUUAACAUAGAAUAAAUGUCAUUAAUUUGAUAAAGUGUUGAUAGAUUUAUAUGAAUAUAGUGCGUUAAUUUUUCGGAAUUAUAUAAUAGCAUGAUUAUCAUUGAUUUUCUGUGUUUUUUAUAUGCACUUUUAUGAUUAACAAUGCGAAAGAUUCAGGAUACCUUCGGGACCCGUCUUGAAACACGGACCAAGGAGUCUAACAUAUGUGCAAGUUAUUGGGAUAUAAACCUAAUAGCAUAAUUAACUUGACUAAUAAUGGGAUUAGUUUUUUAACUAUUUAUAGAUAAUUAACACAAUCCCGGGGCGUUCUAUAUAGUUAUGUAUAAUGAUAUUUAUAUUAUUUAUACCUCUAACUGGAACGUACCUUGAGCAUAUAUGCUGUGACCCGAAAGAUGGUGAACUAUACUUGAUCAGGUUGAAGUCAGGGGAAACCCUGAUGGAAGACCGAAACAGUUCUGACGUGCAAAUCGAUUGUCAGAAUUGAGUAUAGGGGCGAAAGACCAAUCGAACCAUCUAGUAGCCAACUUCCUUCCGAAGUUUCCCUCAGGAUAGCUGGUGCAUUUAAAUGUUAUAUAAAAUAAUCUUAUCGAGUAAAGCGAAUGAUUAGAGGCCUUAGGGUCGAAACGAUCUUAACCUAUUCUCAAACUUUAAAUGGGUAAGAACCUUAACUUUCUUGAUAUGAAGUUUAAGGUUAUGAUAUAUUGUGCCCAGUGGGCCACUUUUGGUAAGCAGAACUGGCGCUGUGGGAUGAACCAAACGUAAUGUUACGGUGCCCAAAUUAACAACUCAUACAGAAACCAUGAAAGGAGUUGGUUGCUUAAAACAGCAGGACGGUGAUCAUGGAAGUCGAAAUCCGCUAAGGAGUGUGUAACAACUCACCUGCCGAAGCAACUAGCCCUUAAAAUGGAUGGCGCUUAAGUUGUAUACCUAUAAAUUACCGCUAAAGUAGAUGAUUUAUAUUAUUUAUAAUAUAAAUUUUGAAACUUUAGUGAGUAGGAAGGUACAAUGGUGUGCUUAGAAGUGUUUGGCGUAAGCCUGCCCAUGCAGGCCAUCCAUAGCCGCCAUUGGUACAGAUCUUGGUGGUAGUGGCAAAUAAUCGAAUGAGACCUUGGAGGACUGAAGUGGAGAAGGGUUUCGUGUGAACAGUGGUUGAUCACGAGUUAGUCGGUCCUAAGUUCAAGGCGAAAGCCGAAAAUUUUCAAGUUUUAAAAAUGUCAAAUGAAAUAAUAAAUAAUAAAACACUUCAAUAAUUUUGAACGAAAGGGAAUACGGUUCCAAUUCCGUAACCUGUUGAGUAUCCGUUUGUUAUUAAAUAUGGGCCUCGUCCUCAUCCUGGCAACAGGAACGACCAUAAAGAAGCCGUCGAGAGGUAUCGGAAGAGUUUUCUUUUCUGUUUUAUAGCCCUACUACCAUGGAAGUCUUUCGCAGAGAGAUAUGGUAGAUGGGCUAGAAGAGCAUGACAUAUACUUUUGUGUCGAUAUUUUCUCCUCGGACCUUGAAAAUUUAUGGUGGGGAUACGCAAACUUCUCAACAGGCCGUACCAAUAUCCGCAGCUGGUCUCCAAGGUGAAGAGUCUCUAGUC
This 1984-nucleotide non-coding RNA is filed under the name Drosophila willistoni. Its description in RNAcentral is "Eukaryotic large subunit ribosomal RNA". It matches the Rfam family "Eukaryotic large subunit ribosomal RNA", at positions 24 to 1888 of the family's 3401-position model. The record is from Rfam by way of RNAcentral. Lineage: Eukaryota; Metazoa; Arthropoda; Insecta; Diptera; Drosophilidae.